This 550-nucleotide ribosomal RNA is filed under the name uncultured Gammaproteobacteria bacterium. RNAcentral describes it as "bacterial SSU rRNA". It matches the Rfam family "Bacterial small subunit ribosomal RNA", at positions 28 to 567 of the family's 1533-position model. The record is from RNAcentral. Lineage: Bacteria; Pseudomonadati; Pseudomonadota; Gammaproteobacteria.
AGUGAACGCUGGCGGUAGGCCUAACACAUGCAAGUCGAACGGCAGCACAGGAGAGCUUGCUCUCUGGGUGGCGAGUGGCGGACGGGUGAGGAAUACAUCGGAAUCUACUUUUUCGUGGGGGAUAACGUAGGGAAACUUACGCUAAUACCGCAUACGACCUACGGGUGAAAGCAGGGGAUCUUCGGACCUUGCGCGAUUGAAUGAGCCGAUGUCGGAUUAGCUAGUUGGCGGGGUAAAGGCCCACCAAGGCGACGAUCCGUAGCUGGUCUGAGAGGAUGAUCAGCCACACUGGAACUGAGACACGGUCCAGACUCCUACGGGAGGCAGCAGUGGGGAAUAUUGGACAAUGGGCGCAAGCCUGAUCCAGCCAUACCGCGUGGGUGAAGAAGGCCUUCGGGUUGUAAAGCCCUUUUGUUGGGAAAGAAAUCCAGCUGGCUAAUACCCGGUUGGGAUGACGGUACCCAAAGAAUAAGCACCGGCUAACUUCGUGCCAGCAGCCGCGGUAAUACGAAGGGUGCAAGCGUUACUCGGAAUUACUGGGCGUAAAGCG